Molecule: ribosomal RNA, 460 nt
Filed under: uncultured bacterium
Lineage: Bacteria
Description: partial 16S ribosomal RNA
Rfam family: Bacterial small subunit ribosomal RNA
Source: RNAcentral
CCUACGGGAGGCAGCAGUGAGGAAUAUUGGUCAAUGGGCGUAAGCCUGAACCAGCCAAGUCGCGUGAGGGAUGAAGGUUCUAUGGAUCGUAAACCUCUUUUAUAAGGGAAUAAAGUGUGGGACGUGUCCUGUUUUGUAUGUCCCUUAUGAAUAAGGAUCGGCUAACUCCGUGCCAGCAGCCGCGGUAAUACGGAGGAUCCGAGCGUUAUCCGGAUUUAUUGGGUUUAAAGGGUGCGUAGGCGGCCGUUUAAGUCAGCGGUGAAAGUCCGUGGCUCAACCAUGGAAUUGCCGUUGAAACUGGGCGGCUUGAGUGUGGUUGAGGCAGGCGGAAUGCGGGGUGUAGCGGUGAAAUGCUUAGAGAUCACGCAGAACCCCGAUUGCGAAGGCAGCCUGCCAAGCCAUGACUGACGCUGAGGCACGAAAGCGUGGGGAUCAAACAGGAUUAGAUACCCCUGUAGUC